CCUACGGGUGGCAGCAGUAGGGAAUCUUUCACAAUGGGCGAAAGCCUGAUGGAGCAACACCGCGUGAGUGAAGAAGGGUUUCGGCUCGUAAAGCUCUGUUGAUGGAGAAGAACGUGAGAGAGAGUAAAUGUUAACGCAGUGACGGUAUCAAACCAGAAAGUGCAGGCUAACUACGUGCCAGCAGCCGCGGUAAUACGUAGGUGGCAAGCGUUAUCCGGAGUUAUGGGGCGUAAAGCGAGCGCAGGCGGUUGCUUAGGUCUGAUGUGAAAGCCGUCGGCUGAACCGAAGAACUGCAUCGGAUACCGGGCGACUUGAGUGCAGAAGGGGACAGCGGAACUCCAUGUGUAGCGGUGGAAUGCGUAGAUAUAUGGAAGAACACCAGUGGCGAAGGCGGCUGUCUGGACUGCAACUGACGCUGAGGCUCGAAAGCAUGGGUAGCGAACAGGAUUAGAUACCCCUGUAGUC
RNAcentral lists this ribosomal RNA (465 nucleotides) under uncultured bacterium. RNAcentral describes it as "partial 16S ribosomal RNA". It matches the Rfam family "Bacterial small subunit ribosomal RNA", at positions 338 to 795 of the family's 1533-position model. The record is from RNAcentral.